Molecule: small nuclear RNA, 22 nt
Filed under: Arabidopsis thaliana (thale cress)
Lineage: Eukaryota; Viridiplantae; Streptophyta; Magnoliopsida; Brassicales; Brassicaceae
Description: snRNA_05398
Source: RNAcentral
UCAGGCAAGUCAUCCUUGGCUA